GCGCUCUUAUCCAGAUCUGCUUGUUGUAGCGAUAGGUGCUCCAUAUGGCUCUCAGGCCACUUCUGGCAGGCAGGGCUGCGAAGGGGACGAGGGUCUGAUGUCAGAUUUCUUUUUCCAGGCCAAGAUGAGAUGUAGCCAAACAAAGCUGGAAGGAUUGAAGACUAGCGAUGGGGCUGAAGCUUCUUAGGAAACACGCAACUGCUUAUUUUGAGAGAAAUGCUCAGCACAGCUUGAGAAAUAACAAGCAAUCCCCCUGCUAGCACAGGAAUGAAGACAAUAGGACGUAAUAGCAACCCAAGGAUCCUUAAUUCCAGACAUCCUCAG
This 324-nucleotide long non-coding RNA is filed under the name Apteryx rowi (Okarito brown kiwi). RNAcentral's name for it is "lncRNA (ENSARWG00000002446.1)". The record is from RNAcentral. Lineage: Eukaryota; Metazoa; Chordata; Aves; Apterygiformes; Apterygidae.